UACGGAGGGGGCUAGCGUUGUUCGGAAUUACUGGGCGUAAAGCGCACGUAGGCGGUUUGUUGCGUCGGCUGUGAAAUCCCGAGGCUCAACCUCGGGUCUGCAGUCGAUACGAGCAAACUAGAGUGUUGCAGGGGAGACUGGAAUUCCUGGUGUAGCGGUGAAAUGCGCAGAUAUCAGGAGGAACACCGGUGGCGAAGGCGGGUCUCUGGGCAACAACUGACGCUGAGGAGCGAAAGCGUGGGGAGCGAACAGG
Molecule: ribosomal RNA, 253 nt
Filed under: uncultured bacterium
Lineage: Bacteria
Description: partial 16S ribosomal RNA
Rfam family: Bacterial small subunit ribosomal RNA
Source: RNAcentral